AAGCAAACCUCUUUGCUAUAAGGGACUCUAGAACGAGUAUGACAAAAUGUAUUACUCCCACUAGAAUCACAAGAAUGUCGGUUAUAUUGCCAGUCAACUACAGUCUAGUUAGGCACCGUACACAUUAGAAGAAGGAUACGUUUCUUGCGCCGAUCAUGCCAGUUUCAUCCAACGAUUCAUAAACGAGGCCGUGGUAAAAGAUCUCCACUACUGACGAUCCGGAGCCAGCGUCUUCACUUGGUCCCAGUCAAGAUUCUCGUCGACUGUCGGAUUUCGGCGGCUACAGUGAACGAAUUUACAUAAAUGAAGAUGGGUGAAAAGGAUUGGAACAUCGAUAUGUAUGCUGCUGCUGAGAUUCGCUCUGCGCUGGUUUAUGGAAAACUAUGUUCCUGCUGUUACACUUUAUCUAGGGAGCUAUUAAAUCGACUCCUUGCACCUUAAUUACUCAGUUUCAAGGAUAACAAUUUAUAUCAAUUAAAAACUUUCGGAAUACAAUAUAUAA
This is a long non-coding RNA of Uranotaenia lowii, 502 nucleotides long. RefSeq lists it as uncharacterized. The record is from RefSeq and is a predicted model, not a curated record. The transcript is spliced from 3 exons. NCBI's taxonomy places the organism in Eukaryota, Metazoa, Arthropoda, Insecta, Diptera, Culicidae.